Cucumis melo (muskmelon) is the source of this 448-nucleotide long non-coding RNA. RefSeq lists it as uncharacterized. NCBI's taxonomy places the organism in Eukaryota, Viridiplantae, Streptophyta, Magnoliopsida, Cucurbitales, Cucurbitaceae. The transcript has 3 exons. The record is from RefSeq and is a predicted model, not a curated record.
GCAAUAGAAAUAGUGGUUUUGUGUGAGUUAUCAAUCUGUGGUUAAGAGCAUUAUUCGGAAUGAUAGGGCAUAAAACGAAGAACUUAUGAAUUUAUGAAUUACUUUUUAAACCCGCCAUGGAUGAGGAAGAACUUAUGAAUUUAAGUGCUUCAGAUUAUCCAUUGAUGACACAAGAUGAUUUGUUUCAUGUGUUCUCUAACAUAACUUGCUUAGACAACUCAAAGAUGCUCACUUCCAACAUCCUUCAAGUUGUUUACAGGGAGGAGCUAUCUCUAAACAAAUGACUGCAAGAGAAGAAAUGGUUGCAAGUGAGUACAAUUAGCGAGACCCUCAUCUUUGUGACAAGAUAUUGAAGAUGGUCAUUUGUGAAGCGUUCUAGUUUGCUAUUAGUUGUAGUUUUAGUUAUUGCUCUCUCAAUAUAUUCUUUUUCUUUCUUUCUUUCUUUUUU